This 73-nucleotide transfer RNA is filed under the name Rattus norvegicus (Norway rat). It matches the Rfam family "tRNA". Rfam says of the family: Transfer RNA (tRNA) molecules are approximately 80 nucleotides in length. Their secondary structure includes four short double-helical elements and three loops (D, anti-codon, and T loops). Further hydrogen bonds mediate the characteristic L-shaped molecular structure. tRNAs have two regions of fundamental functional importance: the anti-codon, which is responsible for specific mRNA codon recognition, and the 3' end, to which the tRNAs corresponding amino acid is attached (by aminoacyl-tRNA synthetases). tRNAs cope with the degeneracy of the genetic code in two manners: having more than one tRNA (with a specific anti-codon) for a particular amino acid; and 'wobble' base-pairing, i.e. permitting non-standard base-pairing at the 3rd anti-codon position. Lineage: Eukaryota; Metazoa; Chordata; Mammalia; Rodentia; Muridae. The record is from Rfam by way of RNAcentral.
GGGGAUUUGGCUCAGUGGUAGAGAGAGCGCUUGCCUAGGAAGCACAAGGUCCUGGGUUCGAUCCCCAGCCCCG